RNAcentral lists this ribosomal RNA (468 nucleotides) under uncultured bacterium. Its description in RNAcentral is "partial 16S ribosomal RNA". It matches the Rfam family "Bacterial small subunit ribosomal RNA", at positions 28 to 507 of the family's 1533-position model. The record is from RNAcentral.
GACGAACGCUGGCGGCGUGCUUAACACACGCAAGUCGAACGGAAAGGCCCUGCUUUUGUGGGGUGCUCGAGUGGCGAACGGGUGAGUAACACGUGAGUAACCUGCCCUUGACUUUGGGAUAACUUCAGGAAACUGGGGCUAAUACCGGAUAGGAGCUCCUGCUGCAUGGUGGGGGUUGGAAAGUUUCGGCGGUUGGGGAUGGACUCGCGGCUUAUGAGCUUGUUGGUGGGGUAGUGGCUUACCAAGGCUUUGACGGGUAGCCGGCCUGAGAGGGUGACCGGCCACAUUGGGACUGAGAUACGGCCCAGACUGCAACGGGAGGCAGCAGUGGGGAAUAUGGCCCAAUGGGCGGAAGCCUGAUGCAGAAACGCCGCGUGCGGGAUGACGGCCUGCGGGUUGUAAACCGCUUUCGCCUGUGACGAAGCGUGAGUGACGGUAAUGGGUAAAGAAGCACCGGCUAACUACGUG